GGAUGUUUUGGAAGACUGGGUGACUG
RNAcentral lists this non-coding RNA (26 nucleotides) under Rattus norvegicus (Norway rat). Lineage: Eukaryota; Metazoa; Chordata; Mammalia; Rodentia; Muridae. The record is from RNAcentral.